UAUAAGUACCUGACAAGUAUCCGCGAACUACCUGUAUCUCCCUGUUUCGGCUUAAACCACGAACGAGCUCGGUAAGAUGGCGGUAGAAGGUUGUUCCAGAUCUUACUUGCCAGGUAUCUGAAGCUACCUCUGAAUGCAGAAGAAUGAUGACGUGGAGUAUCAAGCAAAUAUGCGGAGCCUCUGGUAAUAGCCUGUCUCUCACUAGCCCAGUGCAGUUUCUCAAAG
Molecule: long non-coding RNA, 225 nt
Organism: Aricia agestis (brown argus)
Lineage: Eukaryota; Metazoa; Arthropoda; Insecta; Lepidoptera; Lycaenidae
Exons: 2
Source: RefSeq, a predicted model, not a curated record